This 424-nucleotide ribosomal RNA is filed under the name Verrucomicrobiota bacterium. RNAcentral describes it as "Verrucomicrobia bacterium partial 16S ribosomal RNA". It matches the Rfam family "Bacterial small subunit ribosomal RNA", at positions 355 to 776 of the family's 1533-position model. Lineage: Bacteria; Pseudomonadati; Verrucomicrobiota. The record is from RNAcentral.
UGAGGAAUAUUGGUCAAUUGACGAGAGUCUGAACCAGCCAAGUAGCGUGCAGGAUGACGGCCCUAUGGGUUGUAAACUGCUUUUGUUUGGGAAUAAUCGACAUUACGUGUAAUGUUUUGCAUGUACCAUUCGAAUAAGGACCGGCUAAUUCCGUGCCAGCAGCCGCGGUAAUACGGAAGGUCCAGGCGUUAUCCGGAUUUAUUGGGUUUAAAGGGAGCGUAGGCUGUUUGUUAAGCGUGUUGUGAAAUGUAGGAGCUCAACUUUUAGAUUGCAGCGCGAACUGGCAGACUUGAGUGCGCACAACGGAGGCGGAAUUCAUGGUGGAGCGGUGAAAUGCUUAGAUAUCAGGACGAACUCCGAUUGCGAAGGCAGCUUACGGGAGCGCAACUGACGCUAAAGCUCGAAGGUGCGGGUAUCGAACAGG